UGGGGAAUCUUGCGCAAUGGGCGAAAGCCUGACGCAGCGACGCCGCGUGAGGGAAGAAGGCCUUCGGGUUGUAAACCUCUUCAGGAGGGACGAAGCCACUCGGGUGAAUAGCCCAGAGGGUGACGGUACCUCCAGAAGAAGCCCCGGCUAACUACGUGCCAGCAGCCGCGGUAAUACGUAGGGGGCAAGCGUUGUCCGGAUUUAUUGGGCGUAAAGAGCGUGUAGGCGGCCACACAGGUCCGCUGUGAAAAUCUCGAGGCUCAACCUCGAGCUGUCGGUGGAAACCGUGUGGCUAGAGUCCGGAAGAGGAGAGUGGAAUUCCCGGUGUAGCGGUGAAAUGCGCAGAUAUCGGGAAGAACACCCGUGGCGAAGGCGGCUCUCUGGGACGGUACUGACGCUGAGACGCGAAAGCGUGGGGAGCGAACAGGAUUAGAUACC
RNAcentral lists this ribosomal RNA (438 nucleotides) under uncultured bacterium. RNAcentral describes it as "bacterial SSU rRNA". It matches the Rfam family "Bacterial small subunit ribosomal RNA", at positions 355 to 786 of the family's 1533-position model. The record is from RNAcentral.